Small nucleolar RNA from Arabis alpina (gray rockcress), 121 nucleotides. It matches the Rfam family "Small nucleolar RNA U19". The record is from Rfam. NCBI's taxonomy places the organism in Eukaryota, Viridiplantae, Streptophyta, Magnoliopsida, Brassicales, Brassicaceae.
UUUUGGCUUAGUUAUGAGGCAAAUAUCGAAUCUGAUCAUCAUCAAAAUACUAUUUAGUGUUUUUGUUUUGAGAAGAAGCUUUGGUUUUUUCUUCAAAUUAAGCUUCUUCUCAACAAUCUUC